UAUGGUAUAACUUAGUGGCAGACGGGUGAGUAAUGUAUAGGAAUCUACCUAGUAGUACGGAAUAAUUGUUGGAAACGGCAACUAAUACCGUAUACGCCCUACGGGGGAAAAAUUUAUUGCUAUUAGAUGAGCCUAUAUUAGAUUAGCUAGUUGGUGGAGUAAUAGCCUACCAAGGCAAUGAUCUAUAGCUGAUCUGAGAGGAUGAUCAGCCACACUGGAACUGAGAUACGGUCCAGCCUCCUACGGGAGGCAGCAGUGGGGAAUAUUGGACAAUGGGCGAAAGCCUGAUCCAGCCAUGCCGCAUGAGUGAAGAAGGCCUUUGGGUUGUAAAGCUCUUUUAGUGAGGAAGAUAAUGACGGUACUCACAGAAGAAGUCCUGGCUAACUCCGUGCCAGCAGCCGCGGUAAUACGGAGAGGGCUAGCGUUAUUCGGAAUCAUUGGGCGUAAAGGGCGCGUAGGCUGGUUAAUAAGUUAAAAGUGAAAUCCCGAGGCUCAACCUUGGAACUGCUUUUAAAACUAUUAAUCUAGAGAUUGAAAGAGGAUAGAGGAAUUCCUGAUGUAGAGGUAAAAUUCGUAAAUAUUAGGAGGAACACCAGUGGCGAAGGCGUCUAUCUGGUUCAAAUCUGACGCUGAAGCGCGAAGGCGUGGGGAGCAAACAGGAUUAGAUACCCUGGUAGUCCACGCUGUAAACGAUGAAUGUUAAAUAUGGGAAGUUUACUUUCUGUAUUACAGCUAACGCGUUAAACAUUCUGCCUGGGGACUACGGUCGCAAGAUUAAAACUCAAAGGAAUUGACGGGGACCCGCACAAGCGGUGGAGCAUGUGGUUUAAUUCGAUGCAACGCGAAAAACCUUACCACUUCUUGACAUGGAAAUC
RNAcentral lists this ribosomal RNA (875 nucleotides) under Wolbachia pipientis. RNAcentral's name for it is "bacterial SSU rRNA". It matches the Rfam family "Bacterial small subunit ribosomal RNA", at positions 81 to 994 of the family's 1533-position model. Lineage: Bacteria; Pseudomonadati; Pseudomonadota; Alphaproteobacteria; Rickettsiales; Anaplasmataceae. The record is from RNAcentral.